RNAcentral lists this unclassified non-coding RNA (449 nucleotides) under Hevea brasiliensis (rubber tree). The record is from RNAcentral. Lineage: Eukaryota; Viridiplantae; Streptophyta; Magnoliopsida; Malpighiales; Euphorbiaceae.
CAUCUCAAUCUCUCUUCUCUCAACAGCUGCAAUUUCCACCUUCUUAUUAAUGUAUUUAUCCCAAGCAUUGUUUCCAAUUGUUUCUUAUAUGCUAGAUGUCUGUUUUCUUUAACUGUUUAAGCAAGUUACUUUGCCUAUAAACUUGAGUUUUAUGCCUUGCUGUCAGGCAGGCAAGGAUGAUCAUAUAUCCCAUUAACUGACAGGAUUUUUGUUUUCCUUUACUUUUUUAUUAUAUGCUUAAAGUUGACGUAGUUUUUGACUUGUAACUAUAUUUAUAAUGUGAAAUUUAAAUCAGAUGCUACAUUUUUAAUGUGUUCAGACUUCAGACUUUGAACCUGCUUGGUGCAUUUGUUGUGUUCUACAUUCUUGGGUCAAAUAUUCUUGGCAACAGCUAACAACCAUGUUGUUAGUGGCUAUAUCAUUCCUUGAUGUUUCCUUCCUUCUUGAAG